Molecule: ribosomal RNA, 354 nt
Filed under: uncultured bacterium
Lineage: Bacteria
Description: bacterial SSU rRNA
Rfam family: Bacterial small subunit ribosomal RNA
Source: RNAcentral
AGAGUUUGAUCCUGGCUCAGGAUGAACGCUAGCUACAGGCUUAACACAUGCAAGUCGAGGGGAAACGACAUCGAAAGCUUGCUUUUGAUGGGCGUCGACCGGCGCACGGGUGAGUAACGCGUAUCCAACCUGCCCACCACUUGGGGAUAACCUUGCGAAAGUAAGACUAAUACCCAAUGAUAUCUCUAGAAGACAUCUGAAAGAGAUUAAAGAUUUAUCGGUGAUGGAUGGGGAUGCGUCUGAUUAGCUUGUUGGCGGGGUAACGGCCCGACCAAGGCUACGAUCAGUAGGGGUUCUGGAGAGGAAGGUCCCCCACAUUGGAACUGAGACACGGUCCAAACUCCUACGGGAGCA